GAGGGAGCUGCCUAAGGCAAAACCAAUGACUGGGGUGAAGUCGUAACAAGGUAGCCGUAUCGGAAGGUGCGGCUGGAUCACCUCCUUUCUAAGGAA
Molecule: ribosomal RNA, 96 nt
Rfam family: Bacterial small subunit ribosomal RNA